CCUGGUGGCGAGUGGCGAACGGGUGAGUAAUACAUCGGAACGUGCCCAGUAGUGGGGGACAACCAAGCGAAAGUUUGGCUAAUACCGCAUACGACCUACGGGUGAAAGGGGGGGAUCGCAAGACCUCUCGCUAUUGGAGCGGCCGAUGUCCGAUUAGCUAGUUGGUGGGGUAAAGGCCUACCAAGGCAACGAUCGGUAGCUGGUCUGAGAGGACGAUCAGCCACACUGGGACUGAGACACGGCCCAGACUCCUACGGGAGGCAGCAGUGGGGAAUUUUGGACAAUGGGGGAAACCCUGAUCCAGCAAUGCCGCGUGUGUGAAGAAGGCCUUCGGGUUGUAAAGCACUUUUAUUCGGAGAGAAAUCCCUUGGGCUAAUACCCCGAGGGUCUGACGGUACCGGAUGAAUAAGCGCCGGCUAACUACGUGCCAGCAGCCGCGGUAAUACGUAGGGCGCGAGCGUUAAUCGGAAUUACUGGCCGUAAAGCGUGCGCAGGCGG
RNAcentral lists this ribosomal RNA (498 nucleotides) under uncultured beta proteobacterium. Its description in RNAcentral is "bacterial SSU rRNA". It matches the Rfam family "Bacterial small subunit ribosomal RNA", at positions 84 to 578 of the family's 1533-position model. Lineage: Bacteria; Pseudomonadati; Pseudomonadota; Betaproteobacteria. The record is from RNAcentral.